GACGAACGCUGGCGGCGUGCUUAACACAUGCAAGUCGAGCGGUAAGGCCCUUUCGGGGGUACACGAGCGGCGAACGGGUGAGUAACACGUGGGUGACCUGCCCUCAGCUCUGGGAUAAGCCUGGGAAACUGGGUCUAAUACUGGAUAUGACUCCACGGUGCAUGUCGGUGGGGUGGAAAGCCUUGUGCGGCUGAGGAUGGGCCCGCGGCCUAUCAGCUUGUUGGUGGGGUGA
RNAcentral lists this ribosomal RNA (232 nucleotides) under uncultured bacterium. Its description in RNAcentral is "partial 16S ribosomal RNA". It matches the Rfam family "Bacterial small subunit ribosomal RNA", at positions 28 to 260 of the family's 1533-position model. The record is from RNAcentral.